UGGGGAUUGGCCAAGUUGGUUAAGGCACCGGAUUCUGAAUCCGGCAUGCGUAGGUUCGAGUCCUACAUCCCCAGCCA
Molecule: transfer RNA, 77 nt
Filed under: Neisseria sp.
Lineage: Bacteria; Pseudomonadati; Pseudomonadota; Betaproteobacteria; Neisseriales; Neisseriaceae
Also listed under: 4 other names
Description: tRNA-Gln(ctg)
Rfam family: tRNA
About the family: Transfer RNA (tRNA) molecules are approximately 80 nucleotides in length. Their secondary structure includes four short double-helical elements and three loops (D, anti-codon, and T loops). Further hydrogen bonds mediate the characteristic L-shaped molecular structure. tRNAs have two regions of fundamental functional importance: the anti-codon, which is responsible for specific mRNA codon recognition, and the 3' end, to which the tRNAs corresponding amino acid is attached (by aminoacyl-tRNA synthetases). tRNAs cope with the degeneracy of the genetic code in two manners: having more than one tRNA (with a specific anti-codon) for a particular amino acid; and 'wobble' base-pairing, i.e. permitting non-standard base-pairing at the 3rd anti-codon position.
Source: RNAcentral